This 441-nucleotide unclassified non-coding RNA is filed under the name Hevea brasiliensis (rubber tree). The record is from RNAcentral. Lineage: Eukaryota; Viridiplantae; Streptophyta; Magnoliopsida; Malpighiales; Euphorbiaceae.
GUGGGAUUUCUUAGGUUUGAGAGUCCCCUGUGAACUUCUGAGUAUCUUUCAUCAUGCAGUAAAUUGGAUUAAAUUUAUAGAGUGUGUAAGCAACUGAUUGAGCAGUGGCUCAUUGGUAUUACUUGCAUGUAUGUGAAUGUGUUCCCCACACAAUAACACUAGCAUGUGUAAAGGAAAUCCUGGAUAUGAUAUUUUGGUAAGCUUGGUAUUAGAAAUUUAACUGUAAUUGCAACCUUCAUUAAUUUUGAAAUUUGGAGUGAACUGAAAUGUUUAAUACAGAGUUAAUCAAUGUUAAAAAGAGAUGAGUUUAUGUGAUGCAUCGCACAAUGAUUGAUCAAAAUCUACCCACCCUUUUUCUUUCUAUCUUUUGGUACUUACUUUUGUUUUCCUCAUACGCUGGGAAGAUGGGUGUAUUAGCACAGUUGUCUUGUUGAAUCCUCU